GGCUCGGUAGCUUAGAUAGUAAAAGCACUCGUCUGGCAUACAAGAGUCGUGGGUUCGAAUCUCACCUGAGCAC
RNAcentral lists this transfer RNA (73 nucleotides) under Aedes aegypti (yellow fever mosquito). It matches the Rfam family "tRNA". Rfam says of the family: Transfer RNA (tRNA) molecules are approximately 80 nucleotides in length. The record is from Rfam by way of RNAcentral. Lineage: Eukaryota; Metazoa; Arthropoda; Insecta; Diptera; Culicidae.